GGCGCUGUGGCUCAGUGGUAGAGCGCUAGCCUUGAGCUGAAGAGCUGAGGGACAGCGCCC
Non-coding RNA from Dipodomys ordii (Ord's kangaroo rat), 60 nucleotides. The record is from Rfam. Lineage: Eukaryota; Metazoa; Chordata; Mammalia; Rodentia; Heteromyidae.